RNAcentral lists this ribosomal RNA (497 nucleotides) under uncultured bacterium. Its description in RNAcentral is "partial 16S ribosomal RNA". It matches the Rfam family "Bacterial small subunit ribosomal RNA", at positions 28 to 507 of the family's 1533-position model. The record is from RNAcentral.
GAUGAACGCUGGCGGCGUGCCUAAUACAUGCAAGUCGAGCGAGCGGACGAGAAGCUUGCUUCUCUGAUGUUAGCGGCGGACGGGUGAGUAACACGUGGAUAACCUACCUAUAAGACUGGGAUAACUUCGGGAAACCGUAGCUAAUACCGGAUAAUAUUUUGAACCGCAUGGUUCAAAAGUGAAAGACGGUCUUGCUGUCACUUAUAGAUGGAUCCGCGCUGCAUUAGCUAGUUGGUAAGGUAACGGCUUACCAAGGCAACGAUGCAUAGCCGACCUGAGAGGGUGAUCGGCCACACUGGAACUGAGACACGGUCCAGACUCCUACGGGAGGCAGCAGUAGGGAAUCUUCCGCAAUGGGCGAAAGCCUGACGGAGCAACGCCGCGUGAGUGAUGAAGGUCUUCGGAUCGUAAAACUCUGUUAUUAGGGAAGAACAUAUGUGUAAGUAACUGUGCACAUCUCGACGGUACCUAAUCAGAAAGCCACGGCUAACUACGUG